UAUUUUAUGAGACAAGGAAAGAAGAAAGCUUUGGUGGCUGCAGACCUUGUAUACACGAAUCUCGGGGAACUUGUGGAUCACACGAUUUGGAAACUGAUUUAGGACUGAACCUGCCAAAAAUCACUCCUGACCAAUGCAGACAACUGGCUGGAUAAUUUCUCAUCUGCUUUCCACCUAAAAUAUUUUUUCAUAUUUGUGAAAUAAAAUCUUAAAUAGACAGAAUGAUUGUUCACUUACGUGCUGCAUGCCUCAGGUACUGUUCGUCACUGUGAAAUAAUACUUGAUUUUCAGUAAGUUCCUCGGUCAACCUUCAUCUCUAAAUACGACCUACGAGCACAGAAGGACAUUACACUACAUUGCAAAUGAUGAUUUCUUAUUUUGUACAAUUAAACAGUGUGGUUGCAGUUUCCGUCCCUCGUAGAAGGAAAAGGGGAGAAUCAGUUCAGUCUGAAAUUGUGUUUACUGUAUUAUGAUUGUUUUAACUAGGGCUGCACAAUAAAUCGGUUCAGCAUCACAAUGUGAUCAUUUUACAACAGUCAUAUCCAAGCAUACACAAUGUUGAGUCUGGAUUAUAAUUGAUCAUUUGCCUGAUUUUUUUGAGGCCUGAAAUGGUACUGUUUGUAAUUUUAAUAACGAUUAAUUAUUUACAUUAUACAUUACAUUAUUAUUUACAUUAUAUAUUACAUUAAUAUUUACAUUAUACAUUACAUUAUUAUUUACAUUAUACAUUACAUUAUUAUUUACAUUAUACAUUACAUUAUUUACAUUUAUACAAAGAAGACUACACAGUGUAAUUUCACAU
RNAcentral lists this long non-coding RNA (802 nucleotides) under Danio rerio (zebrafish). RNAcentral describes it as "si:ch211-221f7.2 (ENSDARG00000105809.2)". Lineage: Eukaryota; Metazoa; Chordata; Actinopteri; Cypriniformes; Danionidae. The record is from RNAcentral.